UUUACACAUGCGAGUCGAGCGAGAGGACCCUUCGGGGUUCUGGAGACCGGCGGAUGGGUGAGUAACGCGUAGGUAAUCUGCCUACAGGACGGGGAUAACCCACCGAAAGGUGAGCUAAUACCCGAUGAUGCAGCGGGGCCGCAUGGCCACAGUUGUUAAAUCCUUCGGGAGCCUGUAGAUGAAUUUGCGUGCCAUUAGCUAGUUGGGAGGGCCAAAGCCUACCAAGGCAAUGAUGGCUAGGGGGUCUGAGAGGAUGAUCCCCCACACUGGGACUGAGACACGGCCCCCACUCCUACGGGAGGCAGCAGUGAGGAAUCUUGCGCAAUGGGGGCAACCCUGACGCAGCCACGCCGCGUGCUGGAAGACGGCCCUAUGGGUUGUAAACAGCUUUUACUGGGGAAGAACCUGGACCUUUCGAGGACCACUGACGGUACCCAGUGAAUAAGCACCGGCUAACUCCGUGCCAGCAGCCGCGGUAAUACGGAGGGUGCAAGCGUUGUCCGGAAUCAUUGGGUGUAAAGGGUGUGCAGGCGGAAGUCUAAGUCGGAGGUGAAAUCUUGCCGCUUAACGGUAAAAGGGCCUUCGAAACUGGAUUUCUUGAGUUCGGAAGAGGUUGGUGGAAUUCGUGGUGUACCGAUGAAAUGCAUAGAUAUCACGAAGAAGACCGGUGGCGAAAGCGGCCAACUGGUCCGAUACUGACGCUGAGACACGAGAGCGUGUGUAGCGCACAGGAUUAGAUACCCUGGUAGUCCACGCUGUAAACAAUGCAUGCUAUUUGUUGUCCCUUUGGAGGCAGUGACGCAGUUAACGCAGUAAGCAUGCCACCUGUGAGUACGUUCUCAAGAAUGAAACUCAAAGGAAUUGAUGGGAGUCCGCACAAGCGCUGCAGCAUGUGUCUUCACUUCGAUGCAACGCGAAGAAUCGUUACCCUACGCUAAUAUCUACGGGCGACCGGCCAUGCGAAAAGGCGGGCUGCUCAUCGCUGCGCCCAGCGUAAAGAUGCUGCAUCGCAUGCUCGUCAGCUCGUGCCGAUGGAGCAGCUGGAUAAGUCCUGUCAACGCAGCGCUACCUCUGUGGUUAGGUUACUAGCACGUAAUGCCGCAUCUAGCCUAGAUCUGGCCAUAGCCUAGUUAGCUGGAGGAAA
RNAcentral lists this ribosomal RNA (1144 nucleotides) under Fodinibius sp. RNAcentral describes it as "bacterial SSU rRNA". It matches the Rfam family "Bacterial small subunit ribosomal RNA", at positions 48 to 1182 of the family's 1533-position model. The record is from RNAcentral. Lineage: Bacteria; Pseudomonadati; Balneolota; Balneolia; Balneolales; Balneolaceae.